Zea mays is the source of this 1290-nucleotide RNA transcript. RefSeq lists it as uncharacterized. The record is from RefSeq and is marked validated. Lineage: Eukaryota; Viridiplantae; Streptophyta; Magnoliopsida; Poales; Poaceae. The transcript is spliced from 4 exons.
AAUGUUUCAUUCAUUAAACUUCGCGAGAACAUGGGAGGAGCAGUAGAGCAGCACAGGACGUAGAUGUACGGUAGCCGGCCGGCGCCCAUGGAUUCAAGCUCACAGCCCGCCGCAAUUGAUGGAUCGAGAGGGAGCGGAGGAGGAGAGAGAAACAAAAGGGAGGAGGAGGACGACGACGAGGCGGCGGCGGAGGCCGGCAACGGCAGACAGCUGGUGAUGCCCGAGGACGGGUACGAGUGGAAGAAGUACGGCCAGAAGUUCAUCAAGAACAUCCAGAAAAUGAGGAGCUACUUCCGGUGCCGGCACAGGCUGUGCGGCGCCAAGAAGAAGGUGGAGUGGCACCCGCGCGACCCCGGCGGCGACCUCCGCAUCGUCUACGACGGCGCGCACCAGCACGGGCCCCCGCCGCUGGCGGCUCCUCCCGGCGGCCACGGCCAGAUGCAGGGCGGCGGCGCCUCCGACUCCAACAGAUACGAGCUGUGCACCCAGUACUUCGGCGGGGCCCGGUCGCGCUGACGACCUGGCGGGCCAGCUAGCUAGCGUCGGGGGUGGCAUGGCAGCUGACAAGAAAGGCCGGCCGGCGGGCGGCGGCGUGGCGUCCCGUCGCGUCACGCUCACGCCCGCAUCACCUCCUGCCCCUGCUGGCUGCUGGCCUGCUGCAGCACCGAUCGCUUUCGCUGCGCACCGGAGGGCAGCGGCAGCGGCAGCGGCUGGCUGGUGCUGCCGGUGGCGGUUGACUUGACGCCUUGCGCCGGCGCAACCGACGUGAUGUUGAGUGCGGAUUAAUUGGUGCUGCACCGGUCAACGCUGUGGUCUACUACUAGUGUACUACACUAUUACGACGACGAUUGAAAAGCACCAGUGAGUACCGAGGCACUCCUUCCAGAAUUAUAUAAUUCAGCUUAUAGAUAUAAGCAUCUAAUGACCUGCUUAUAAAUUAUCAUAAUCUAGAUAUCUAGAUUAUAUUAUUUGUUUGUCACAUCCGCUAAUGCCUACCGACAGUUGAUCGGUGCAACUGAUGGAUAUGGACAACCUAACAAGUUGGCAACACUAAGGCUUGUUCAGUUAUUACUAUCCCAUGUAGAUUUGAUAUGAUCAAAAAAAUCAUAAAAGAUGUUAACUUAUUUAGGAAUCAAACUCAUCAAUCUCACCUAAUCCAUAUGAAUCGGGACCAAAACGAAUAAGCCCUAACAAUGAUUUCAACAGUACGUAGAAUUCAAUUUAUUCACCGUAGCAUGCAACAUCGAUCGAAAAAAUUAAAAACCUUAAGUGCAGGAACAUUUGGAGACA